RNA transcript from Ipomoea triloba (trilobed morning glory), 972 nucleotides. It is a transcript of the gene named AUGMIN subunit 4-like, with no coding region annotated. The record is from RefSeq and is a predicted model, not a curated record. Lineage: Eukaryota; Viridiplantae; Streptophyta; Magnoliopsida; Solanales; Convolvulaceae. The transcript is spliced from 2 exons.
UUUGGGCGGCCCAUCAGGCUAUAGUGGACCAAGAAUGCACCGGCUUGUUAUCCUUCCACUGCAGAGAGGAGGAGGUCUUCGCUGCUCUGUGAAGCCAGCCUCACGCGGUGCCCUCCGAUCUAAGGACGGAGAAGCCUCCGCCUUCGCAGAGACUCCACCGUUCAAACUCACCACUUGGAACGGGCAGGCCAGAAGAUAGCACCCCAAGCCCAGCCCUCAGGGCAAGCCCAAUUGUUCCACCAUCUUAUAGCUCCCACUCGGGUUACAGACUCGCGCUACCAAGCCCAGCGAGCAGUACUUCUAGCUACGGCCUUAUUAAGGGAAAAUAUUCUUCAUCCGGUUUCGAUGUGGGAAACUGUGCGAGGUCUGGUUUGGCUUUCAUGGGGAAAAAAUGGGGCAAACAACUAUCGUGUACUCAUGGUUUUUGCGUUGUAUCAUUGUUCACCAAAACUUAGAGACAUAGCUUGGAAGCUUUGCUUCCCUGAAUGGAAUGGCAGAUAUCAUUGGGUUCUGUUCUGCUGGCACCGUCCACUCACACCCUAUAAGCUUUGCUUCAUUUUCAUUCCCAUCUCACAUUAUUUUCGUACGUUUUUAUUAUUUAGUUUAAAAUUUUAAAUUGUGCCGGCUAAUGUUUUAGAAAUGAAUUGAAGUUGCAGCAGCGGUUCGUAUAGAAAAUUGGAAGCCUUGGUGCUAUAUAUGCAAAAUUUAGCAGUUUUGAUCAUUUAUUGAGUUUAGGGAAAAUUAGGGUUGUGAUUUGAGAUUAUGAAUACAUAUUUUUUGUCAUGCUACUUUGUGUACACUUUGAUCCUUUUAUGGAUAAUGGAUAAAUAAUGUAGGUAGUUUACAUAGAGGCAAUUGUAAUGGUGGAAGAGUAUCUCAACUCAGUUUGAAAUUCCUCAGCUUCCUAAUUUUUGCACUGUAUAUACUAAAAUAAUAGGAGUCAAUAUAAAGAUUGCCAUAAUGUUAACAAUC